CCUACGGGUGGCAGCAGUGAGGAAUAUUGGUCAAUGGGCGGAAGCCUGAACCAGCCAAGUAGCGUGCAGGAUGACGGCCCUACGGGUUGUAAACUGCUUUUAUACGGGACUAACGCGCCUUACGUGUGGGGCUUUGCAUGUACCGUAGGAAUAAGGACCGGCUAAUUCCGUGCCAGCAGCCGCGGUAAUACGGAAGGGCCGGGCGUUAGCCGGAUUUAUUGGGUUGAAAGGGAGCGUAGCGGGCAUGUCAAGCGUGGUGUGAAAGUUCCGGGCUAAACCCGGGACGUGCAGUGGAAACUGGCGUGCUUGAGUACGGGAGAGGGAGGCGGAAUUCGUGGUGUAGCGGUGAAAUGCUUAGAUAUGACGAAGAACCCCGAUUGCGAAGGCAGCUCACUGCACCGUAACUGACGCUGAUGCUCGAAAGCGUGGGUAUCGAACAGGAUUAGAUACCCUAGUAGUC
This 460-nucleotide ribosomal RNA is filed under the name uncultured bacterium. RNAcentral's name for it is "partial 16S ribosomal RNA". It matches the Rfam family "Bacterial small subunit ribosomal RNA", at positions 338 to 795 of the family's 1533-position model. The record is from RNAcentral.